GGAAAGAUGCAGGAGUGGUUGAACUGGCACGCCUGGAAAGCGUGUAUACCUCUAAAGGGUAUCAGGGGUUCGAAUCCCCUUCUUUCCG
RNAcentral lists this transfer RNA (88 nucleotides) under Odoribacter sp. Its description in RNAcentral is "tRNA-Ser". It matches the Rfam family "tRNA". From Rfam's summary of the family: Transfer RNA (tRNA) molecules are approximately 80 nucleotides in length. Their secondary structure includes four short double-helical elements and three loops (D, anti-codon, and T loops). Further hydrogen bonds mediate the characteristic L-shaped molecular structure. tRNAs have two regions of fundamental functional importance: the anti-codon, which is responsible for specific mRNA codon recognition, and the 3' end, to which the tRNAs corresponding amino acid is attached (by aminoacyl-tRNA synthetases). tRNAs cope with the degeneracy of the genetic code in two manners: having more than one tRNA (with a specific anti-codon) for a particular amino acid; and 'wobble' base-pairing, i.e. permitting non-standard base-pairing at the 3rd anti-codon position. Lineage: Bacteria; Pseudomonadati; Bacteroidota; Bacteroidia; Bacteroidales; Odoribacteraceae. The record is from RNAcentral.